CCGAUACCCCAUCCAGUUCGCUAUUUUGAUAACUCAGGUUUAGGCCUUUGUCCAGAAGAGCCAGCUGCUGGAGGGGAGAAUGUGGAUCCUCAGUCAGCUGCUUGUCAGGCCUUCUCAGAAAAGCACCUGCCGGAGUGCAAGAUGCAGUAGUCACCUGUCACUUUUCCGGGCCCCGCAUUCCUCCGCUGUUACUUCAUGUGUCUAUGCCUGGCGAUUAUGUCACAGUACAACUUAAUUUCAGUUCUGUUUUAGUUUUGCCACUAGAUUGAAAGGUGAAGGAACAGGAGAUUGAGGCAUUCUAGUAGUUUAGGUGAUAGCAAUGUCGUCGUCUUGAAUGUCAUACUAAGAAGUGGAACUGUCUUAUUUAUUUAUAUAUUUUUAAAGAAUAAAGUUAUUGAAGGAAACUUUAACUUAUAUCCAUUUGUAUUACUGUAGCAUUAUCCACAUGGAACUUAACAAAAUUAUAAAUUCUUUGUUUAGUACCUUGAACAUUCAGUCAGUAAUUAGUACUGAAUCCAACUCCUAUAAUAUUAACUAAUGCUUUUCUGGUAGGAUAUUUAGGAUAUCUUUGGUUCUCCUGUCUCAUUUGUUAAUAUUUAGAAUUUUGCUAAUGAACAAAAUGAAUCGACCAACAAAAUAAGAUCUGAAGCAUGGAGGCAUGGAACAGACUGACAUGCCUCGGUGAGGGGGUAGAGAGAUGAAGAGAUACACCAAAGAACUGAUACCCUGUGGACACUGGCAAUAGGGAAGUGAAGGCAUGGAUGGGGAGGGGCUGGCCGGAGGAAGGUAGAGGAGGGGAGGAUGGGGGACAUCUGUAAUACUAUCAAUAAUAAAAAUAUUUUUAAGUGAUGUAAUUGCUAGGGAAAAAUGCACAUGCUUUCUGGAUUUAAAUUGUUAUGGGAUAGUAAAUGCUAUGACCAUUUUUUUA
This is a long non-coding RNA of Myotis lucifugus (little brown bat), 928 nucleotides long. RefSeq lists it as uncharacterized. The transcript is spliced from 2 exons. The record is from RefSeq and is a predicted model, not a curated record. Lineage: Eukaryota; Metazoa; Chordata; Mammalia; Chiroptera; Vespertilionidae.